Molecule: ribosomal RNA, 520 nt
Filed under: uncultured bacterium
Lineage: Bacteria
Description: bacterial SSU rRNA
Rfam family: Bacterial small subunit ribosomal RNA
Source: RNAcentral
AGAGUUUGAUUCUGGCUCAGGAUGAACGCUAGCUACAGGCUUAACACAUGCAAGUCGAGGGGCAGCAUUAGAUUAGCUUGCUAAUUUAGAUGGCGACCGGCGCACGGGUGAGUAACGCGUAUCCAACCUUCCCCCUGCUCAGGGAUAGCCCGGUGAAAACCGGAUUAAGACCUGAUAGUUUCACUAGAUGGCAUCUGACGGUGAAUAAAGGUUUCGGCAAGGGAUGGGGAUGCGUCUGAUUAGCUUGUUGGCGGGGUAACGGCCCACCAAGGCGACGAUCAGUAGGGGUUCUGAGAGGAAGGUCCCCCACAUUGGAACUGAGACACGGUCCAAACUCCUACGGGAGGCAGCAGUGAGGAAUAUUGGUCAAUGGGCGGAAGCCUGAACCAGCCAAGUAGCGUGCAAGGAUGACGGCCCUAUGGGUUGUAAACUGCUUUUGUGCGGGAAUAAAGUCAGGGACGCGUCCCUGUUUGCAUGUACCGCAAGAAUAAGGACCGGCUAAUUCCGUGCCAGCCGCAGC